This 820-nucleotide ribosomal RNA is filed under the name uncultured bacterium. Its description in RNAcentral is "bacterial SSU rRNA". It matches the Rfam family "Bacterial small subunit ribosomal RNA", at positions 707 to 1532 of the family's 1533-position model. The record is from RNAcentral.
UACCGGUGGCGAAGGCGGCCCCUGGACGAAGACUGACGCUCAGGUGCGAAAGCGUGGGAGCAAACAGGAUUAGAUACCUGGUAGUCACGCGUAAACGAUGUCGACUUGGAGGUUGUGCCCUUGAGGCGUGGCUUCCGGAGCUAACGCGUUAAGUCGACCGCCUGGGGAGUACGGCCGCAAGGUUAAAACUCAAAUGAAUUGACGGGGGCCCGCACAAGCGGUGGAGCAUGUGGUUUAAUUCGAUGCAACGCGAAGAACCUUACCUGGUCUUGACAUCCACGGAAGUUUUCAGAGAUGAGAAUGUGCCUUCGGGAACCGUGAGACAGGUGCUGCAUGGCUGUCGUCAGCUCGUGUUGUGAAAUGUUGGGUUAAGUCCCGCAACGAGCGCAACCCUUAUCCUUUGUUGCCAGCGGUCCGGCCGGGAACUCAAAGGAGACUGCCAGUGAUAAACUGGAGGAAGGUGGGGAUGACGUCAAGUCAUCAUGGCCCUUACGACCAGGGCUACACACGUGCUACAAUGGCGCAUACAAAGAGAAGCGACCUCGCGAGAGCAAGCGGACCUCAUAAAGUGCGUCGUAGUCCGGAUUGGAGUCUGCAACUCGACUCCAUGAAGUCGGAAUCGCUAGUAAUCGUGGAUCAGAAUGCCACGGUGAAUACGUUCCCGGGCCUUGUACACACCGCCCGUCACACCAUGGGAGUGGGUUGCAAAAGAAGUAGGUAGCUUAACCUUCGGGAGGGCGCUUACCACUUUGUGAUUCAUGACUGGGGUGAAGUCGUAACAAGGUAACCGUAGGGGAACCUGCGGCUGGAUCACCUCCUU